GGAGGCGUGGCUGAGCGGCUGAAAGCAGCACACUGCUAAUGUGUUAGGGGCCAAAAGCCCCUCGCAGGUUCGAAUCCUGCCGCCUCCG
RNAcentral lists this transfer RNA (88 nucleotides) under bacterium. Its description in RNAcentral is "tRNA-Ser". It matches the Rfam family "tRNA". From Rfam's summary of the family: Transfer RNA (tRNA) molecules are approximately 80 nucleotides in length. Their secondary structure includes four short double-helical elements and three loops (D, anti-codon, and T loops). Further hydrogen bonds mediate the characteristic L-shaped molecular structure. tRNAs have two regions of fundamental functional importance: the anti-codon, which is responsible for specific mRNA codon recognition, and the 3' end, to which the tRNAs corresponding amino acid is attached (by aminoacyl-tRNA synthetases). tRNAs cope with the degeneracy of the genetic code in two manners: having more than one tRNA (with a specific anti-codon) for a particular amino acid; and 'wobble' base-pairing, i.e. permitting non-standard base-pairing at the 3rd anti-codon position. The record is from RNAcentral.